GACGAACGCUGGCGGCGUGCUUAACACAUGCAAGUCGAACGGAAAGGCCCUGCUUUUGUGGGGUGCUCGAGUGGCGAACGGGUGAGUAACACGUGAGUAACCUGCCCUUGACUUUGGGAUAACUUCAGGAAACUGGGGCUAAUACCGGAUAGGAGCUCCUGCUGCAUGGUGGGGGUUGGAAAGUUUCGGCGGUUGGGGAUGGACUCGCGGCUUAUCAGCUUGUUGGUGGGGUAGUGGCUUACCAAGGCUUUGACGGGUAGCCGGCAUGAGAGGGUGACCGGCCACAUGGGGACUGAGAGACGGCCCAGAAUCCUACGGGAGGCAGCAGUGGGGAAUAUUGCACAAUGGGCGGAAGCCUGAUGCAGCAACGCCGCGUGCGGGAUGACGGCCUUCGGGUUGUAAACCGCUUUCGCCUGUGACGAAGCGUGAGUGACGGUAAUGGGUAAAGAAGCACCGGCUAACUACGUG
This 468-nucleotide ribosomal RNA is filed under the name uncultured bacterium. Its description in RNAcentral is "partial 16S ribosomal RNA". It matches the Rfam family "Bacterial small subunit ribosomal RNA", at positions 28 to 507 of the family's 1533-position model. The record is from RNAcentral.